Oncorhynchus masou masou (cherry salmon) is the source of this 2472-nucleotide long non-coding RNA. RefSeq lists it as uncharacterized. The record is from RefSeq and is a predicted model, not a curated record. Lineage: Eukaryota; Metazoa; Chordata; Actinopteri; Salmoniformes; Salmonidae. The transcript has 4 exons.
UUCGGAAUAAAGGAUACGCCAGAAUUGUGCAGUCGAGACGACAACUUCUGUGUCCGUUUCAAAUAUAUUACUACUGGACGACUAGAAUUAAGUCUGAGGCAGGUAACAUCAACAGUGAGGACAAACCCAGCCUGUCUCUCUCAUUCCACACUGAGUCCAAACCUACAGUCACUGGGUCCAGAUUGUGACAGUGGAGCCCAGUUUGCACUGCAGGAUCCAGAGAUGGCAUCAGUGAAGCUGGAAGACUGCAGUCAAACACUGGAGCUGAAUGUCAACAUUAAAGAUGAAGAAGAGGAGGAGGAGAUUGGGAAAUCUGUUUCUCAUGGAGACCAUGUUGAGACAUUCUCUACAUCCAGAGAGCAACAGAGGGAACAUCACAGAGCUAAAGGGUCUCACAGCUGCCCACAUUGACCUGAGCCAUAGGACCAUGCCUCAGGACUACCUGGCAUGAUGACUCCUUGCUGUCCCCAGUCCACCUGGUCGUGCUGCUGCUCCAGUUUCAACUGUUCUGCCUGCAGCUAUGGAAUCCUGACCUGUUCACCUGACGUGCUACCUGUCCCAGACGUAUUAUUUGACCAUGCUGGUCAGUUAUCAACAUUUGAACAUCCUGGCUAUGUUCUAUUAUAAUCUCCACCCUCAUAGCCUGGUUCCUCUCUAGGUUUCUUCCUAGGUUUUGGCCUUUCUAGGGAGUUUUUCCAAGCCAACAUGCUUCAACACCUGCAUUGCUUGCUGUUUGGGUUUUAGGCUGGGUUUCUGUACAGCACUUUGAGAUAUCAGCUGCUGUACGAAGGGCUAUAUAAAUACAUUUGAUUUGAUAUUUCACAUAUCUUGCUAGAUAUGCCUUUUGUUGUGAUAUUUCACAUAUCAUCUUGCUAGAUAUGCCUUUUGUUUUGCUCGUGAGGAGUAAUGGCCGAGAGAAGGCAGGAGACACUUUGUUUUGUUUAGCGUCGUUAGGUUAGACUGCUCCCUUUUAUGGAUCAGUCAUCCACCAGGCUACGAUUAGGGGGAGGUGGGAGGGGAAGCGUUGGGAGUCUCGGUUCGGGAGACAGUGGAAUGGGGUUCAGUGUUUACCUGUUGUUAGCAUAGAUUUCUUUUUGUUUGUUCCAACAGAUCUUUACAUAUUUUUCUCACUACAAAAUAUUAAUGAGGUCCUUGUGGAUACUAAAUAUAUUUUAAAUAUUCCUUUAUGCUAUAGCUUAUUCCAUGUUUACAUCUUGGUUAAAUGACAUCAAAUGCAAAACUGAAAUUUACUUUGUGGAAUGUCUGUGGAGUUUGUAAACUAUCCAAGUUUAAACAAGUGAUUACUAGGCUUAAACAACUUCAUUCGUCUAUUGUGUUCCUACAAGAAAUUCACUUGUUGAAGGAUGUGCUACUUAAGGUACACAGGAGAUGGCAAGGGCAAGUAAUAGCAUCCUGUUUCUCCUCUCAUUCUCAUUCUGUUAUGGUUUGAAUUCACUAAUCGGUUCCGUUUCAAGUGGAUAACAUUAUAACUGAUACAUCUGGUAGAUACAUUUUGAUACAGGAACCUCUUUGAAUGAGCAUAUUCAUCUGGUUAAUGUUCAUGGUCCUAAUGAUGAUGAUCCCAUUUCUAUUGAUAACCUUCCAAAUGGCAGGGGAUUUUAAUUGGUCCUCCUCUAGAUCGCUCUUCUGGUUAGACAUUUUCCAUUCGCAAAGUAGAAAGAAAUUACAGCAUUUGUUUAAGGACUUUAAUCUAUGUGAACCUUGGAGGAUUAAGAACCCGUAGAAAAGGGAGUAAUCACGUUACUCAUCAACAUUUUAAUCAUAUUCUCGUAUAGAUUACAUUUUAGUUUCUUGCUCAUUGCUUCCAAAUGUAGCAGGAAGUGGAUAUGAUAGUAUUGUUCUGAGUGACCGUUCCCCUGUGUCAUUAUUCUAUAGGGAUACAAAACCAGUAAAAGGAUCCUCUAGUUGGCGUUUGUGUCCCAAAUGGUUACAGGACCCAGACGUCUUACAUUAUGUUGGAGUGCAUAUAGAUGUUUAUUUUACAUUGAACACUGACCAAACGUCAGCGACUACCAGAUGGGAGGCUUUCAAAGCAUGUAUUAUGGGGCAAAUUAUACAUUUUACAACUUUGAAUCUCCUGAGAACUUAACUAAUCAGGUAUUGAUUUUCCCUCUAUGUCAGAAGACAUUACAUUGGAUCUGGAAAAGGAAUUGGAUGGUGUUGAAACAUCUGAUGCUAUUUUCAAUAUGAAGGGAGGUAAAGAGGCAGGUCCAGAUGGGCUCCAAAUAGAUAUUUAGAAGAUAAUUAAGGACAAACUUCUAGGUCCACUUCUGGAUAUGUAUAGAGGUAUCUAACCUCUAAACGAGCUUCAAUGCCAUACAACACUCCUUCCGUGGCCUCCAACUGCUCUUAAACGCUAGUAAAACCAAAUGCAUGCUUUUCAACCGAUCGCUGCCUGCACCCGCUUGCCCGACUAGCAUCACCACACUGGAUGGUUCCGACCUUGAAUAU